Molecule: ribosomal RNA, 253 nt
Filed under: uncultured bacterium
Lineage: Bacteria
Description: partial 16S ribosomal RNA
Rfam family: Bacterial small subunit ribosomal RNA
Source: RNAcentral
UACGUAGGGUGCGAGCGUUAAUCGGAAUUACUGGGCGUAAAGCGUGCGCAGGCGGUUCGUUAAGUCAGAUGUGAAAGCCCCGGGCUCAACCUGGGAACUGCAUUUGAAACUGGCGGGCUUGAGUGCGGCAGAGGGGGGUGGAAUUCCACGUGUAGCAGUGAAAUGCGUAGAGAUGUGGAGGAACACCGAUGGCGAAGGCAGCCUGCUGGGCCAGCACUGACGCUCAUGCACGAAAGCGUGGGGAGCAAACAGG